UGAGAUAUAAUUUAAAACAAUAAACCAGAAAAUAUUUAUGAAUCAUAAAGGUGAUGUGUGAUACUAAAAAUAAACUAAAUCGCAAAUACUAAAAAUUCCACGGUCAAAUAUCUGUUCCACUCCUUUUUAUAUCUAUAAUUAAAUAGAUAGUUGUAAAUGUAUAAUUUUAUAUAAUUAUUACUUUUGAACAUAUAAUUUUAAAUAUUUUAAUUAUUGAAUUACUUACAUAUUAUUAAAUUAAUAAAAUAUAAAAUCUCUAUUAAAACUAAAAUUUUAUGUUUUAUGAAAUAAUAAUUAAUUUUUAAAAUUUAUAGAACAUAUAGUUUCACUAUUAUUUUCUUUUUUUUUAUGAUAUGUAAACGAUAUUUUUAUGAAAGCAAACUUGUAUAAUUUUUUUUAUAGAUUUAUUUGUAUUAAAUUAUAUGGACGAAAUAUUCGUAAAUAUCUAUAAUUUUUUUUGCAUAUUUGUAUUUUUCGAAACAAAGCAAAUAAAAAAUCAAAUAUCUGUAAACUAUAAAAUAAAUCAUAAAUACUGAAAAUUAUUGUAUUAUCCGGAGCUCGGUACCCACCCCUAGUCCAGCCCACUGUACAGUAUUCUGCCAGCUAAUAUAUAUAAUACCCUAAAUAGCAAAUAAUAACAAAAGAAACUUUGACUGUCAUGCAAAAACAAUAUACCUAGUCAACUCCAUAAAUGUGAAUAUAUAUACAUACAAUAUAUUUUAAUACUUCUCUUACCCAAUAUAAAAAUAUUUUACCAAAUAUGGAAGAUUUUAUUACUGUAAAUUAAGUGCAGGGUUGAAAAUUGAGACUUUCCUUGCGAAAAGAGUUCUAUAAAAAAGAACAAUUCUUCACGGUUGACCAGAAACAAUAGAAUAGAACAAAUUUUAUUCGUAGUACAAUACUCUAAAACUACACAUAAUGGGUAUCACUAGAAUCUCUCUAACUCUGUCUCUGCUAAUAGUAUUAGCAAUUUCAAUGUCUUACAACAACGUUUCGGCCGUGUCAGUGAUCGAACCAGCCAAAUUACCUACCCGUUGUUUUCACCAAUGUGGUGGAAUCUAUGAUGAUCACGCAUGCUUCACUGACUGCAUACCCAAAGGGUACGAUCAUGGAAUGUGUAGGAAUGGUCGUUGCUGUUGCUUCAAUGAUAAUUGAUCAUACUCUCGAUAUUUGGCGAGUUGGAUUUAAGAUUUAAAAAUAUUUACUAUUUUAUCGUAGUUGUUCUGGGUAAUGAAAUAAAAACAUGAUUUAUUAAA
Brassica napus (rape) is the source of this 1256-nucleotide long non-coding RNA. RefSeq lists it as uncharacterized. Lineage: Eukaryota; Viridiplantae; Streptophyta; Magnoliopsida; Brassicales; Brassicaceae. The transcript is spliced from 2 exons. The record is from RefSeq and is a predicted model, not a curated record.